UACAGGGGGGGCAAGCGUUGUUCGGAAUUACUGGGCGUAAAGGGCCAGUAGGCGGCCAACUAAGUCCGACGUGAAAUCCCAAAGCUUAACUUUGGAACUGCGUCGGAUACUGGAUGGCUUGAAUUCGGGAGAGGGAUGCAGAAUUCCAGGUGUAGCGGUGAAAUGCGUAGAUAUCUGGAGGAAUACCGGUGGCGAAGGCGGCAUCCUGGACCGAGAUUGACGCUGAGGCGCGAAAGCCAGGGGAGCAAACGGG
RNAcentral lists this ribosomal RNA (253 nucleotides) under uncultured bacterium. RNAcentral's name for it is "partial 16S ribosomal RNA". It matches the Rfam family "Bacterial small subunit ribosomal RNA", at positions 524 to 776 of the family's 1533-position model. The record is from RNAcentral.